This 609-nucleotide ribosomal RNA is filed under the name Staphylococcus aureus. RNAcentral's name for it is "bacterial LSU rRNA". It matches the Rfam family "Bacterial large subunit ribosomal RNA", at positions 1 to 605 of the family's 2925-position model. The record is from RNAcentral. Lineage: Bacteria; Bacillati; Bacillota; Bacilli; Caryophanales; Staphylococcaceae.
AGAUUAAGUUAUUAAGGGCGCACGGUGGAUGCCUUGGCACUAGAAGCCGAUGAAGGACGUUACUAACGACGAUAUGCUUUGGGGAGCUGUAAGUAAGCUUUGAUCCAGAGAUUUCCGAAUGGGGAAACCCAGCAUGAGUUAUGUCAUGUUAUCGAUAUGUGAAUACAUAGCAUAUCAGAAGGCACACCCGGAGAACUGAAACAUCUUAGUACCCGGAGGAAGAGAAAGAAAAUUCGAUUCCCUUAGUAGCGGCGAGCGAAACGGGAAGAGCCCAAACCAACAAGCUUGCUUGUUGGGGUUGUAGGACACUCUAUACGGAGUUACAAAGGACGACAUUAGACGAAUCAUCUGGAAAGAUGAAUCAAAGAAGGUAAUAAUCCUGUAGUCGAAAAUGUUGUCUCUCUUGAGUGGAUCCUGAGUACGACGGAGCACGUGAAAUUCCGUCGGAAUCUGGGAGGACCAUCUCCUAAGGCUAAAUACUCUCUAGUGACCGAUAGUGAACCAGUACCGUGAGGGAAAGGUGAAAAGCACCCCGGAAGGGGAGUGAAAUAGAACCUGAAACCGUGUGCUUACAAGUAGUCAGAGCCCGUUAAUGGGUGAUGGCGUGCC